UUUUCCAUCUCCUAGUUACAGCAAUUGGAACUCGCCCAGAUACAGCACAGAGAUGCUAAUCUCACAGCUCUUGCAGCUAUUGGACCAAGGAAAAAGAGACCACUCGAAUCUGGAAGUGAGGUACUGACAUAGCACUCAUUAUUUUAUUUUUUAUAUCAAGCAAGCAUGCUAAAAAGACGCAGAGAUGGAAAUAGUUUGCCCUGCUCUGCAUGUUGUUGCUGCCAAACUCUUAGACAAUUUUUUCCAGGUUUUUAAGAUGUAUGUCCUUUUGAAAAUUUAUUCCUACUUUUACUUACUCAAACUUCUUCCUUUCCCCCCAUCUCCAGUUGUACUGAGUCUAUUUCAACUUUUUGUUUCUGUGUAUUCUUUCUAGAGGUUUUAUAUAAUCUUUUCCCCUCUGUUUAUCUAAAUCUAGCUCAUCUGUUAAGAUUGAAUCUGCUAUCUUAUUUCUUCCCUGAACCCUGAUUAUUCAUUUCUACACCAACUUCUCCUUUUGUGAGCACUGAAUGUGUUUGCAUGGCUUAAUUGUUGUCUUAUUAUUUCUUGAAAGAAUAUGUUUUCUUAUCUUAGGCUAUAAACUUCUUGAGCAAGGAUUAUUGUCCUAUGGGCUAAUGUUCCCUGUAGAACUGACCGCAUCUAUAUGCUCAAUAAAUAUUGUUAAUUGUUUGAUUAAUACUAAGGAAGGAUCUUAUUUAUAUCUUCAAAGAAAUUAUUUGAAAUAUUAGUCUUUGAGUUGAAUUAUCAGAGCUGACUGAGAUAAAGGUCCCAUAAGAGCACUGGGAUGGGGUCAGCAAUAAAAGAGUGACAACUCAUCUGUUCUGCCCAUAGAAUUUAAAUGAACUUUGAGGCAGCUUCCUACCAGCCUUGACCCUGAAUAUUGACAGUUCCUAAGCAAAUGCCAAUCACCUUAAUCAAAGAAAGAUUAAAUAAUUCUAAUUAUUUUUUAUUUCUAAUAUGAUAUGUUCCUUCGCCCGUACCCAAUCAGAUGUAACUACCAUUAUGUUUUUUCAUAUCUCUUCAGAAAUAUUUUAUGAAUGUGGACAUAUAUCAAGGUGUAUUCCCAAAGCUAUUUGUUUGAUUUUUUUACUUAAAGAUCAAACUAUACCUAUUGUUCUGCCCUUGAUAUUUUCUUCUUCCCAUAAUUUGCUUCAUAUAAUUUGUUUUUCUGGGCAUAUGACAUUACUGUAUUUAGAUAAACCAUAGUUUUUUUUUUUUUCCCCCAAUCAGUUCUUAACAAACAUUAGAUUUUUACUUUUAUUGCCUCAAAGAACACCCUUAUACUUACACUGUAGUGUGCUGGAACAGUGCAGCUAGAGGUGAAAAUCUAGAAAUUGAACCCCUGGAUUGAAGAAUAUGCAUAUUAGGAAAACCUUUAUGGAAAAACUCAAAUGUAUGCAAACAUAGACAGUCUGAGGAUAUAACUCAGUGGUAGAGCACUUCUUAUCAUGUGUAAGCCCCUGAAUGCAAUCCCCCCAGUAUUGGGGAAGGGGGAUAAUGAGCCUCCAUAUACCCUGCUCUACCAACUAUUAAUUUAGGCCUGACCUUGUUUCAUUUAUACCUGCACUAGGUAAGUUUUUCACCUCUCAAACUACUUGAAAGUCAAGCCUACAUUCAUUUAUUCACAACUAUUAUUUAUUGCUUUUGAUUUUUGAUAACUCUUAAAAUUCCCUCUAAAUAACAUUUAUCAGUUUUUAAUAUCCAUUCAUGCCUAUCUUGUAUAUUCCCAUUAAUACUGGAGACUAUGUUUGCCAUCUCAUGAUUGAAAAUGCAAUUUGUAAUAGUGUUUAAGUGAUGAGUAAAUUGAGUAAUUUUUCAUGUGUGUACUGACACAUUCAGUUGGCCUUUUUCCCACUGAAUUUUGUGUUUUAAUUGAUUAAAAAAAGUUAUAAACAUCCCCUCUUAUUUUCUUUUAAGUUUGGGCUUUAUUCACCUAAAAGUUUUUACCUUUAUUCAUCUAAAAUUUUAAUUUUUCUUUCAUUCUGUCUUUUAGGAUUGUUUUCUAUUUAGAAAGUCCAUUGGUAACUAGUACUUUAAUCAUUUUAUUUUGUUAGGUGUAAAUCUUUGGUUCAUGCAGUUCAGAUAUAGGUUUAGCUUUAUUUCUUCCACCCUCCCCUAUUCCCCUCUGGCUAAUAAAUUGUUCCAACACUAUUUACUUAAUAAUUCUUUCCCUACUGAUUUGAAAUGCCACCUUUAUUGCACACAGUUUUGUAUCAAAUGCAAAUUUUCAUAUGUAUUUGAGUCAUUUCUGUACACUGAACCAAUCCUAUCUAAUAGAAUUUUCUAUGGUUAUGUUGAUAAUGCCACAUAUGGCUGUUGAGCUCUUAAAAUGAGGCUAGUAUGACUGAGGAAAUGAUUUUUUAAUUUUUUCAAAAUUAGCAUUAUUUUAAUAGUCAUAUAUGGUUGGUAGCUACUAUAUUGCACAGUGUGGAAGGACUGUUCUCCUGGUUGGAUAGGGGUGUGUACACACACGUACAUACGUGUAAACACACUGGGGAUCAAACCCAGGGCCUCACAUGCUAUGUCAAGAGCUCUAUUACUGAGCUUAUAUCCCUAGCCUCUCUACAUCUAUAGCUGUUUACAUAUUAAUACUAAAGCCUUUUUCUUUUUUUUUUCUGACUUAAGCCAUUUUUAAGUGUAUAGUUAUGUAAUAUUAAGCAUAUUUACAUUCUUGAAAAGAUCUUUUUCAUUUUAUAAAACUAAAAUUCUAUACCCAUUACACAAUUCCUCAUUUCUCCCUUCCCUAACUCUCUGGUCACCCCCAGUCAACUUUUACUUCUAUGAAUUUGACUACUUGGAUAACUCAUAGGAGUGGAAUUGUACAACAUUUGUCCUUUGUGAUUGGCUUAUUUGACUUACCAUAAUGUUCUCAAAGUCCCAUAUGGCAAAACUAGUGUAAUGGUCAAUUUGAAUUGUCAACAUGAUUGGAUUAAGAGAUACCCAGGAUUAGGAGGAUUUUGUGUCAGUGAGGGUGUGUCUAGGAAUGAUUGGCAUGUGGGAUAUUAACUGAAAUGGAGACCCUCCCUAAGCGUGAGCAGCACCAACCAGUAGGUUGAUGUCUUGGAUGGAAUAAAAGUUGCAAGACCAAAGCAGCAGCAGCAGCAGCAGCAGCAGCGGGUGCAAGCUCCAUUCUUCUUGAAUGGCUUCUUGAAUGCUGCUGUGAUCAUGGGAUUCUCGCUUCUUCAUUCUUCCAACGCAGACUCUGAACAGUGAUUGUCCAGAAGGCUUAGGUCUGAAACUAGGGUAACAUCCUUGAUCCCUCUUGUUCUGGGGCUUUGGCCUCUUUGAUUGUGUAGCUGCUGGUUCUUCCAAUUCUCCAGCCUGCAGGCGGCCAUUGUGGACUGUCCAGCUUCUGGUCUGCUUUUCAUAAUUACACUUCCUGUUGAUUCUGUUCCUCUACAGAACCCUAAUACAACUAGUCCAGUAGAGAAAUUUUCAUUUCUACUUUUCUAGUGUGGGACAACCCACUACCCCAUUUUUUUUUUUUGGUUCACUUAUAUAUCAAUGUGUGUAAAUAUCUUAUUAAAAUUGGGGCAUUUCUCAUUAAGGAUAUUAUAAAUAGGCCUUGUUAAGCAUAGUUUUUCUUUUAUGAGAAGAAUACUUAAUAAUUUUUUCAUCCACGUAGAUAUUAUUUAUAGUAUUAUAACUCAUUUGAAAACGAGUUAUAAAGAUGUCUAAGUUCCUUUCCUACUUUUCUAUUCUAGUAGCAUUAUAUAACAAAUUAUUUUAAAUGCUCACAUGCAGGAAAUCAUCAUGGCACAUGGGGUUAUACAUAUACAUUGGAUUUAGACACAUCUGAGUUUCAUGGUUGCCUCUGUUAGACUUUGUAAUUUUGGACAAAUUCUUUAAACCCCAGUCCUCAAUUAGCCUGCUCUGUUAGAUGGGUAUAAUUACCUGCCUUACAAUGCUUUAAGGAUUUGUUUAUUUGAAGUACUUAAUUAGUUUCUGGCCUCAGAUAAGUGCUUAAUAAUUUUUAAUAUUUAUCAUCAUACUUAUAACACCAUUAUUUCAGCCCUAAUUAUUCGUGAAUUUGAAAUGUUAAUCAUUAAUUUCUCCAUUCAUUUUAGUCUUGUUUGAGUUUGUCACAAAUUUAGAGAUAUUAAAUGUUUUCCAAUUUAUAAGUCAGAUUUUUAAGUGUUUUUUAUUCAUUGUAUAUUUGAGUCCCUAGGAGUAUUACAAGAAGCAAAUGUGACAUUUGUCUUCAAAGCAGUGUUAAAGUCAAUUUAUGUGACUUACCUCUUAGUAUUAAGAUGUAAAAAUAUUUAAUUUUUUUCUUUCAAAACAGAUGUUUUGUGAUUUGGAUAUAAAUAUAUUGAACUGCCUGGCUCCCAUUGUGUUGCCUUGAAUUUAAGCUUAGGUAGACGUCGGACAUUUGGUUAAUGCUAUUUUGAACUGAACUAUUUCUUCAAUCAAGUGGUGACAUUUUAGUAUAAUUCUUAUCUGAAAAUUAGCUGAAGACUACUUUUAUUUUGUUGAUUUUUAUUCACGGUAUUUUAACCAUAAGUCUUUUUUUAAUAUUUAUUUUUUAGUUAUAGGUGAAUACACAAUAUCUUUAUUUCAUUUUUAUGUAGUGCUGAGGAUUGAACCCAGUAUCUCACAUGUGCUAGGCAAGCACUCUACCACUGAGCCACAACCCCAGCACCCCCCCCACACACACACACUUUUUAAUGGGAAACAGGAACCCUGUUGCAUGUUUGUUCAGUAUUUAAGUACAUUGGUGAUUUGUUGGCUCCUCCAAUAACUUGAAUUGCAUUAGUCAGAUUGUCUAUUUACUUCCUUUAUUCUCUCACAAAUAAGAUAGAAAUGAUGCAUGAAAUAAUUUUUAGUUUUAAUAUUCUGUAUUCUGUAAAUAGGCUUUGUUAUUUGCUUCAUCCUUUAUAUAUGAGAACCUGAAAUCUUGCCUAUUUGAUUUAAAUUUUAGAAAAAGCAUAUAAUCCCAGAAGGAAGCAGAAUAGGGUAUGGUUCUCUUUGUUCAAAUCCAGGCUUUUUUUAUUUCAGAAAGUUAGACUUAGUACCUGUAAAAUUCAGAAAUUACCAUUUUUUUGUUGAUGGUAAAUUGGAGGAAUUAGUAUUUUUUUCUGUCAUAAUAAAACAAAGUGUAAAACUUCCUCUUUCCUUAAAAAUAAUAUAUUUGUAAAAGAUGUAUAUUUACCUGGCCUUUGAAAGUUGAUACUAAUAUCUUUAGAAGUCUUGGUAAAGCUGAAAAGCACCAGAUACUGUCUCCUCUGAUUGUCUUGACAAAGAGCAGUCAGUACCAGUUAUCAUUUUGAAGCAAAAAUUUAUACCAUGAGUCUACUGGCUUGGGGGAGAGAGUUAAAAUUUACUACAGUGGAAUACAUUCGAUAUAUCCUUAAUUUACUGAUGUGGUUUGAAGUGGAUGAAGUUAGUUUUUGAAUUAAGUAAGCUGUACAGAUAUUGAUAUAGAAAAACAGAAAAUUCUUUAAUAUUUAUCAUAUUUGCUUGUGUGUUUUGUGUAUAGAUAUUAUGCAGAUAAUGUGUUUGGGGUUCUGUGGAAUUUUAAAACUUUACUUCCUGUGUUAAAGAUCCUUGAAUCAGAAAGAAUCUAUCCUUUUCCCCCAUUAGCAGUGCUUUCAAAUAGUUCUGUGAUGUAUUAAUGGCCCAACAUUAAUAACAAUGUUUUUUUUGUUGAAAUGUAAGAGUAGGUUCAUUUUAACCUUAAAAUAUGUCUUUAAAAAUCACAUGAUUAUAUAUAAAAUCAAUUUUGGAGUUACAAAAGUACAGAGAAGGGACCCAACUUCUUACUGGUCAUAUUUAACAAUUUUUAGACUUUAUAUUGCUGUGAAAGCCAUGAGCAUUCAGUAGAAACCACACUUCAAAUUUUGUAUAUGUAUACCUGGUAUAUUUUGCUUAAAAUACACCUUACACAGUAUUCCCUUUCUUCUCCGAGUUGUUUCCAUGUUUCAGUGGUGUACUCUUUCUGGGGAGUGAAAGCCAGCUAGUUCAGUAGAAGUGAUGAUGCCCCUGAUUUUUAAAACAAGCACAGAAAACAUUCACUAACAGCUUCCCGCCCAUAACAAAAAAUAAAGUCUGACAAAGCUGGAUGGGAGUGUCCUGAAAAGGCAGUGAUGGCAUCAGAGAGGAUUCUAUUCAAGAGUACUUGGAACUCUGAUAGUUGGUGUGUGUCCAUAUGAGCCAAAAGGAAAUUCAGGAAGCAGAGUGUGAUGGAGUCCGUUACUUUGUCUUCUUCAGAGAAGAUGGUAUUAGGGAUUUAUGGGGAAAAGUAAUUUUCUUCAUCACUGCUUUCCUGUGAGUUCAUUCCAGCCUUUAUUGGGAUACAGCUUCCCCCGGAUGCAGCACUAGGACCUGUGGUAGUCCUCUCAAACAUAGACUGCCCUCACAUUUCUUUGUAUCUCUCAGAAAAUAUUUUGUUUUUAUUUUGUGCCUUUUCUAUUCCUAUCUAAUUUAUAAAAGGAUAAUUAUACAGAAAUAUUAAAACCAGAACUCCUUGGAAUGUAAUACUUAGAUCAAAGUUCAGGAAUAACUUUCUGAAAGUGUUUAAACUAGCAUGAAUUUAUCUUGGUAUAUAAUCCCUGAGAUUAUUUCUGGUGUUAGCCUUCUAUAAGUCUCUUAAGAUUCUUUGAAAUGAAGAGUAAUCUCCCUGAAAGAGUAUUAUAGAAAGAAGAUCACUCAGUCAACAAAUGAUAGUGAUUUUGUCGGGGAGGGAGAGCUCUUAUGUUUGCCGUAAUACUGCUUACUUACUAGAGCUUUUUAUUUAAGAGGAGGUGUUUGACUAUGGUCACGGAACGUGUCUAAUUGGUAUAGAAGAAUAGGAAAAAUAGCUCUUAAGUUUCUUGGAUAUCCUUUUUGAAAGAUUCCAUGUAUAUAUUAGGUUAAACCAUGUGAUCUUGCCCAUUUUAUUGGUGAAAAUGAAUAUAUAAUUCAAUUACAUAUGCAUAAUUCAGAAAAUACAUAUAUGCUGGGCUUGGUGGCACAUGUAAUCCCAGUGGCUCAGGAGGCUGGAGCAGGAAGAUAGCAAGUUUGAGACUAGCCUUAGCAAAUUAGUGAGGUCCAAACCAACUUGGUGAGACCCUGUCUUAGAAUAAAAGAACUGAGAAUGUAGCUCAGUGCUAAGUGCCUCUGGAUUCAAUCUCUAGAACCAAUUAAAAAAAAAAAAGAAACAAAAAAAAAACAGUACAUACUAUUAAUAGUUUACCUUCAUCAAGCAAUUAGAAUGUAUUAUUUUCAUUAGACUUCACAAUUUCUCUGUAAGCUUAUACUGUUGCUUUCUCUAAAUGAAAAACACGAGUUACAGAGAGGAUUAGUUGCCAUCUAAAAUUACAUGGUUAUUAAGUAGAGGAACCCAUAUACACUUCUACAGAAUUUGGUGUUUGAGUUCUUAUUCAAUAUGAUCCCAUUAUAGGUCAUAAUGGGAUCAUAUUGAAUAUGCUGUACUACAACUUGUAGACAAUCUAUUUUGGACUUUGUAUUAGCAGGGCUCUCCAGAGAAACAGAAUCAACAAGGUAUAUAUAGAUAUCUAAGAGGGAAUUUUUAAAUGGGGAUUAGCUCACACAACUAGGGAGGCUGGAAACUCCUAUGAUAUGUUGUAUGCAACUUGGAGAUACAGGAAAUUUGGUGGUGUAAUUUAGCCUGAUUUUUGAAAACCAGGGGAGCCAGUGAUGUAACUCUCAGUCCAAGGCAGAAGAGAAUUGAGUAUUGGUAUAAUUUCUGGAGUAAGAACCUGGGCUCUGAUGUCUAAAGGCAGGGGAGCAUGAGUGUCUUUGUUCCAGAAGACAGCAAAUUUGCCCUUCUAUCUUUUUGCUCUGUGGGUCCUUUGUGGAUUAGAUCAUGCCCUCCCAAAUGGUGAGGGUGGAUCUUUUAUAUUCAGUCUACUAAUCAAAUGCUAGUCUCAUCUGAAAAGACUUAUAUUACAAAGUAAUAUUCUCCCAGUUGUCUGGGUACCCCUAAAUUCAGUCAAGCUGACACAUAAAUUAACUAUGAAAGACAUUUUCCCAUACAGGUACCUGCUCUUGUGUCAUAAUUCAUUGAUCCACUGAUUGGUAGACAUUGAGAAUAUUUUCACUUAUUUAUUAUAAACAAUGAACAUCUAUAUCUUAAUAAACUCAUUUAUUUUGUAGGAUUGAUUUCUAGAAGUAGAAAUUCUGGGUCAAAGUAUAUGUACAUCCUAAAAUUUAAUAAAUAAAUAUUUUCAUAAUAUAAAUAUCAUGUCUAAAAAUAGCAAUAUCUAAAAAUAUCAUGUCAUUUUCUACCAAUGAGUGCCUAUUUAUUCAUUCCCUUGCUAGCAACAUAUAUGAUCAUUUCUAAAUGUUUGUCACUACAGUUUUUAUUUAUUGCAUCUCUACCAUUUCAAAGUGUCCUCAAAGUUGAGGUUCUGUUUCUAUGUGGAAACAUGGUACAGAAGUGUUGGGAACCUCUGAAAUACCCUUUAAUACCUGGAUUUUAAAUGUUUAUUUAAAUACUAAAAUCAUUUACAGAAAAUUUUCCAUAAUAGAAAUGUGUAUGUUUUGAAACAGAAAACCAGAUUGAAUUGUUAUGGAUAUUUGGAUGACAUUAAGUGGACAUUAUUUUCUUGACCAUAUUUGCUAUUUCUUAUCACUUGAGGGUAUGGUUAGAUUAUAAUUGUAAUAUUGUCUGAAAUGAUUUUAGAAAGACCAAAGCCUUAAUAUAGUUUGAGACAAACUAUUUCUCAAAGAAAGGUAUCUCCUUCUGGUUGCCAUUCCAGGUGAUUCUUCCAUCUGGAAAGAUACUAAGUAAUUUAACUAAAAGGCUACUGAUCUGAAAGCCCCAAAUUUUAUCUUCAUUUCCUUAAGGGGCUCAGGUAGUAACCAUUCUUUACCCCCAUCUUCUACCAGACUGUUUUUGGCGGGGGGAGGUGUCAGUGAGGACUGAUAACAGACAAGUGUUCAGCUUUUGCUAUUAUCAUAGCAGACUUAUGAGAGGUUUAAACCAAUUUGUUGUCAUCUAAUGCUGUUUAUCAGUAUCAUAUAGAUUCAGUAGAAUUUAGAGAAUUUUAUUACUUCAGAUAAAGAAGCAGUUCUUUAUAUUUUAAAGUAUAGUUUUUGUGUUCUGUUUUGUUCAUUCUAAAUUAAACAUAUCCACCUCUUUAUCUAUAAGUGACCUAAAUAUAAAUCUCAACUUAAAAAUUGACUUUUUGGGGUCAGCUAUCUUUAGUGACUUUCUGUGAAAUGUGUUGAAUUGCACAUUAUGGGUUUAUCUUUCCUUCUCCCCAAAUUCCCCAUAAAUGAUCUUUAUUUGCAAGAAUAAAGAAUAGCAAUAAGUAUUCGGUAGUAUUUAAUAGUUAUGUGACUUUUAAAUACGAAAAAAUUGGCAAGGAUUACCAGUUAAUUGAGGAAAUCCUCUUCUGCAGAAAAUAAAAGGCAGAAUAUGGAAGAAAAACAAGGUAUGAAGCAGAAGGAAUUUGAAGGGAGAAAAAAAGGAAAAAAGAAAGGAAGUGGAAUAUAUCACAACCAUUGUACAAAAUUAGAAGACUAAUUUAAAAUAAUCAGAGAAAGUGAAUGACUCUUUGGAAAUGGAAAAUAUGAUGCCAGAAAUAAGCAAUAUUAGAAGAAUUGCAGGUUAGUCAUGACAACCUCAAGUAAAUAUUGGAAAAAAAAAAAAAGAAGAAGAAAGUGUGCUAAAUUUGUAUUGGGUCAGAUUAGCUAAUCUAGAACUGUUUCCCAGAAUCCUUUUUCUUUUGUAGUUCAUGGUGAGCAUGGGCCUUGCGGUGUUUUGAUUCUAAAAAGUAGAAGUGAAACCCCAGUCAUUGUCUUGUAUUUGGCAGAUUGGUGUGGGUAUACUAGGCGUUAUUGUCCUUGCAAACAUCAUUGACAUGGAGGGCUCUUCAGCUCCUCCUCUCUGGGCUUCUCCAAACAUUGAGCUAAACUCAGCACCAAUACAGAGUCGACAGCUGAACAUAAGCUGUCUAACCAGGCUCACAAUUACAGGUAGCCAAAUCUCCAUAUUCUAUAUCAUCUCUUGUAUUCUCUGAGCAAAUGCUAACUGAUGUAGAAAUUUGUACUGUAGUUAGCUACAGAGAAAUAGCACCUUGAACAUGGUUUCCUGAAUUAGUUCUGGGUUUUGUAGAAUUGUUUCUCUAAUUAGAUCUAAAGAUAAUAAUUACCCUGUUUUUAGUAGUAAAGGUGACAAGGUAGUCCAUGGCACUCAGUGAAAAAGUAAUUACCAAUUGUAGACACUAAAAAUCAAGUGCCCUUGGAAGGCACAGUUUUUAGGACAACAGGUAUUUACUACCACAGAACACUUAAGUGAAAACAUGAGUUGUGGGAUAGGUAUUUUUCUUCACAGAACACUGGAGAACUUAGGCAAAGAAAAGGCUUCAAAUUCUGAGCUCAGAAUCCACAGAAGGAAAUUAAAGCCUCUGUGAUUGCCCUAAGAGAAAUCUUUACUUCUUGUAUCCAAAAGCAGAGAUUUCUGGAAACUAAAUCUAAAAUCUAUUCCUGCAGGUAACUGAAUUAUAACACAAAUUGAAUUUCUAGUCUUGUCCAAUUUUUUUGUGUUAAAAUUGUAAUAUUUUGUGGGGGGAAAAUGGAAACCAAAAAUUGAGAACUGGAAUAUGAAUAGAUUCUUAUGAAGGUGGGUAGCUAAUUCCUCAGUUUUGUCCUGCCAUCUGUGCCAGUCCUUCUAGCCCUGUCUAAGGGAGGUUAGUCUCUGAAGGUAAGUGGACUGCUUCCCUUGCAAAUGGACUACUGAUCUUCCUCAGAACCUCCCUUCACUACUUCUCAUUGCUUCUAUACCUAUAAUCAGGCUCAUCUUACAGUGUCCAUAGGAUGUGGUACUAAGUGUGACCCAUGAUGACACAAAUUGCAUGGUUUUGCCUGAAUCCUGGGGCGGUGGGAAGUGGCGGGGAUGGAAUGAAUGGACCUGAGUAUAGAUUCAGAGUAGAAGGCUAUAAAGUUGGACCAGGCUGACUUUAUUGAUAGGGAUUCACCAAACAAAGAUUUUUGAUAGAAGAUAUUAGGUCAGAGGGCUAGGAAAGGCUUUUAAUAAGGGUUUAUUUGUUUAUUUUGGGUUGGUUGAAAGACCCAAAGGUGGCCAAAACUAAGUGACAAUAGAGUUGUAUUGUAUAGUAUGCAUAUUUGUUUCCAAAGGCUUUAGAGAUUGAGAUGACAGAGGAAAUUUAUCAUGUAAGACUUGAUCACAUAUGUCCUUCUGGUGUGUCCAGAGGAGACUUCUUUUAUCAUACUUAGGAGAAAUACAUUCAUGAAGGGAACCUCAGCAACCUUGAACAGCUCUGCUAUUUGCUUUAAGCUGGUUAUGAAGGGGAGCUCCUGCCAUCAAACUAGGCUCCCUGAAUUUAUUGUGAAUGAUGGAAUCCCAGGUGACAGAAACAAAUAGCAGAACUUAAUUGCUAAAGAUAAGGUGGAUUUGGUUACUGUCAGAGUUAGUAAAGCCAAUUCAGGAAUCAGAAUAGUCUGAGUUACAGAUAUUUGGUAUUGACGAGUCAAUCAUGAUAUUCUAGGUCUAAAAUAGAUGGUCAGCCUGUUAAGUUUCCCUGGAUUUGUCUAAACAGAAGAACUCUAGGUAUGGUAAAGAGAAGUAUGACUUGGAUUAAGUCAGUAAAAGCUACAGGCCUCUAGGAAUUAGACUAUGGUGUAAAUUUCUAGCUGAUUUGAGCCUCCUGGGAUUGGUGCUUUUUGACUAGUUUUUGCAGCAGAUGGCGAGAUCACAACAGCUCUUCCUGUGUCUAGCCCCUUUUAGUGUUGGAUAUUUUAACUAAGAAGUAAUAAGAUUUCACUAAAUCAUGGUCAGAUUUUUUUAAACUUGGGUCAUGAGUGUGAAAUCCUUAAAAUUUAUGUUAAAAGUAGGUGUAUAUACAAUUUUAUAUUAAAAGGAAGGAAAUUGUAGCAACUUUUGAUGUUUCUUAAUCUCUGUCAGAGAAAUUAAUCUACCCAAAUGAUCCAUUAAGCAUUCAGAGUGUCUUUUGGUUCCUUGGAAAGAGGAAAAAUAAAUUUUUGCUUGUUUGCUUGUCAAAAGCUAGGAAAGAGAAAAUUUUUCUACGUAGUGAAUUAGAUGUCAGAAAAAAAAUUCUUUUUGUUCCCGAUUUUCAGUUUGUGAUAUUAUCUUAAUUUAAAAUAAUUUUCAAUAAAUUCAAAAUUUUAAACAUUUUGGAAUAAUCACACAAACAAGUACAUAGAGUUAUAUAUAGGCCCUUAAUUAGUCCCCAAACAUAAGCCAGUUCCACAGACUAAAAAACCUUUGAAUUAAGAGAAAACCUGGUCCUCUUGAACACAGACCCUGCCACACAUCUAAAAAUUUAUACUGUAAAUCAAGCCUUUUCUCCAAGGAUCUGCCUGCAGCCUGUUGCCAGGGUAAUAGUGCAUUAGAGAAGGGGAAAUUUAAGGUUAAAAGGGAUUCUAGUCAGUGUCUUCUUACAUGAAUUCUAGAAGACCUAAAGCAACACUAUUUUCCAUCAAUAUCAAUGGAGUUUGACUCUGGUCUGUCACACAGUGGGCCCCUCAACCAACACUAGAGAUAUUUUCACAUUUCUGGAAUGCAUAAUUGAAAUAGAUGUAUUCAAUAGCUGAGUUCUCCCUUUGGUUCUCUGGCCCAUGGAAGUGAGAGAAAGUACAAGCCACUAAAUUUGCAUCUGCCUGGCAAAAUACUAAGGAUUUGAAAAAUGCUGAAGUAGUGAUUUCUACUAUGUCCUCAUUUGGCUUUGAGGAAGACAGGUGCAUCUUUGAGAAUGACAGUGGAUUAUUGUAAACUUAUCAGGUGGUGGUUUCUAUUACAGUUGUUUCUGAUGUGCCUAUUAGUAAACCCAGUUUCUCACCAUCAGAAUCAGUUUGCUUUUAGCUGUUGAGGCCAGCAGGGCACCUUUAUUAGCCUCAUAAAACCUCAGGGUUACAUCAAAUCUUAUAUGAUAGUAUAGUCUGAGGUCCUGGACAGCCUCUUCCUGACACAAAUUAUAUCAGUCCAUUAUAUUAAUACCAUUCUGAUUGUUCUGGUGAGUAAGAAGUAAUUACUCCUUCAAACAUUUUGGUAAGGUGCAGGCAUGUUGAGCAAUAAAUCCCAUCAAAAUUGAGAAUCUUGAAUGAACUUUAUAGGGGUUUAAUGAUUCAGAGCAUAAGAUACUCUUUCCAAGGUAAAAGAUAACUUGCUGAAUCUGGCCUGUGCCAUCACAAAGAGGCACAUUUGGAUCUUAAAGGAAACAUAUACCUUAUUUUAAUAAAAUGGAGAAUGUCCCCAUUUCCAUGAACACAGCUAUGUUCCAUGGCCCCAGUCAGAAGCUCCAAAGCCAUUGUUUUUCAUACAGUAUCUGGAGUCAAUUCUGUCCUCUUACUAUUUUAUUUCUAGUGGACCCUUCACUAUCAACUCUUAUGUCAAUUAAACCUUUAAACUUCUCAGAUUGGUGAUUUCUUUUAGUUUGUCCCUUCAUUGUUAAUAUGAAUUUUUAAAUCAAAAAUGUUUGUUUUUAUCAAAAUAAAUACAUAUUAUAGAAAAUGUAAAAGAAAAGUUAUCCACAUUCUAUCACAUUUUUACAAAAUUCAUAUUGUAAUAAUACUUUUGGUAAUCUUUUUAAUGUAAUGAUAUAAUGUGUAUACAUAUUUUAGACAAUUACUCUUUUUUUUAUAACUUUAUUUUAUUUACUUAUUUUUUAUGUGGUGCUAAGGAUCGAACCUCACACAUGCUAGGCAAGUGCUCUAUCACUGAGCCACAACCCUGGUCCAUAAUGUAUAUUUUAUAUGCCAUUGUUUUGUACAUUUCUUUAGCAUGUUAUAAUUUAUUCAUCUUUUGUUGAACAAACCUAUUUGUUCUAAUAUAAUGCUGUACAAACCUAUUUGCAAUUAAAUCCUUGGUCCUUUUUUAAAAAAAAAUUCAGAAAUAGAAUUGGAGGGCCAAAUGGAUAUUUAUUAUCAAGUUUUAAAAAAAAUAUUUAUUGCCAAUUGCUGCUUGUCCAAAUUGACCUAGUUUUUUCCUACCAGUGUGAUAUGAAAGUAUCUGUUUAUUAACAUCUCAUCAGUAUCAGAUUUUUUUAUUCCUUAACACCAUUUGUUAUCUCAGUCUUUUGAAUUAUUAAUCUCCUUUUCAUCCUUUACUUAGGAAGCAUAAUAAACUCUUUGAGAUGGCAUUUGUAUUCAUUCAUUCAUUUGCCAAAUUGUACUAUAAUGGUAAAAAGAAUGGAACUCGGUUUCAACUUUUGUGCAAGUUACUAGUCCAAAAAGUUGUAGUUUUAUAACAGUGGUGUUAUAUUUAUGCUGUUGUGUCCUUUUCUGCCUUGCAUGAUUACAGGGUACUUGGAGCCCGUGAUAAAGGACAAUCUUGAUUGCACAGCGAUCCUUUUAGCAGUUGGCCAUAGAUAACGUGUCAUUGAACUGGAAAUCAGCAUGAUAUAUGUAUAUAAAAUAUCAAAUUAUUCAUACAAAACUAUCGGUGAACCUUUAAGAUUCCUGUUUUUUCCUGAAGUACUUUUAUUGUUAUACUCCUCUGCUAUAUUAAGUGUUUUGGUCACUGUUCUUCUCAGGGCAAAUUAUAUUUUAAUGAUGGUUUAUAUGUAAUAUUUCAGGCCUUAUAUGAUUUUUUUUCUUCAAAGCACUUAUAAUUUGCUUAAUGAUGAACUUAUGCUAAGAAAGUUUAAUUUUUAAAACUUGUCAUGCUUUAAGAUGGUUCUAAAGAGUUUUAUGGAUUCCAGAAGCCUUUCUUGAAACCGUAUGUAUAUGCAUGCUUUUCCCAUAAUUUAUACAAAUUUUUCCCUCCUUCAAUUAUAGUAUUCUAACAUAGCCAGUUACAUUCUUGCAAGUGUUCCCUAAUGCUGCACCAGUAAUGUUUGUUUCAUCCUCUUAUGCAGCUAUUUGGUUCACACUUUAGUGACUAUGAAGAGCUUGCAUUGCAUGUUAUAUGGUAUUACCUGUGAUAAAGUAUCAGGAUUUAGAGGGCUUUCUAAAAUGAUGGAUGAAUGCUAAUGAGCAACAUUUGUUAGGUUGUUAGUCUAUUACUAAGCCUACCUUUCCUUAGUUUAAAUGACGGUUAAUUUCUCUGUGCAAUUUAUCCAAAUUGGACAUUCAGAUCUUCACUUAAUCUUACCAGUAAAAGCCCAGGUUUCCUGGAAAAACAAUGAAUCUGUUUUAGGUGUAUUUGCAGUGGUACCUUCUAAUGGCAUUGGAAUUCCUAUUUACACAUUUUCCCCAAGAAUUCCAUAAACUAUUGAAUGGAAGAGUAAACAUAAUUUGAUUUUGAAGAGUUUAUUUGAAUUUGGUCUUUUGUUUUGACUCAUCAGUUUGUGCCAAUUUUUAGUGUUUUGAGGUUUUUGUUGUGAUACAAUUCACGCACAAUAAAUUCACCAUUUAAAGUGCAAGAUUCAGUAUUUUUAAAUAUAUUGACAAUACUAUUCAGUCAUCAAGAUUAUCUAAUCCCGGAACAUUUUCAUCACCCUAAAAAUAAAUUUCUUUAGCCAUUUUUGUCACUUCCCUCAGCCCCUCACAACCACUCAUCUAUUUUGAGAUUCUAAGGAUUUGUCUAUUCAGAAUAUAUAUUUAUGUAAUUCAAGUGGGACUCAUACAAUAUGUAGUCUUUUGUGUUGACUUCUUUCUCUUCAUGUUUUCAUGAUUCAUUCAUGCUGUAGCAUGUUUCAGUAUUGGAUUGAAUAAUGGUUUAGCAAUAAUGUGCAUAAUAUUAUUUAUUCAUCCAAUUGAUGAAAAUUUGAUUAUUUAUAAUUUUUUACUAUUAUGAAUGAUAUUACUAUAAACAUUCAUAUGCAAGUUUUUGUGUAUAUGUUUUCAUUUCUCUUGGUUACAUUGUUAAGAAUGGAAUUUCAGAGACUAAGGUAAUUUCAUGUUCAAUAUUUGAAGAACUGCCAAACUGCUUUUCAUAGUAGUUGCACCAUUUUACUUUGUUACCCACAAAGCUAAAGGAGUCCAGUUUCUUCUUGUCAGUACUUUUUAUUGUCUGUUUUUAAAAUUAUGGCCAUCCUAGUAUAUAUGAAAUAUAUUUCCUUGUGGUUUUGUUUUACAUUUUCCCAAUGACUAAUGAUAUGAAGCAUCUUUUCAUAUGCUUAUUGGCUAUUUGAACAUCUCUGUAGAAAUAAAGUCCAAUCUUUUUCUUUUGUGUGUGUGUGUGAGGGGGCUGCCGGGUAGUGCUGGGUAUUGAUCCCAGAGUCACUUAACCACUGAGCCACAUCCCCACAACUUUUUAAAAAAAUUUUUUUUUUGUCAGUGGACCUUUAUUUAUUUAUAUGUGAUGCUGAGAAUUGAACCCAGUGCGUCACACAUGCUAGGUAAGUAUUCUACCUCUGAGCCACAACCCCUUUUAAAAAUAUUUAAGGGCUGGGGUUAUGGCUCAGUGGUAGAGCACUUGCCUAGCAUGGGUGAGGCACUGGGUUCGAUCUUCAGCACCAUAUAAAGAUAAAUAAAUAAAGGUAUUAUGUCCAUCUGUAAUUUUAAAAAUAUUUAGAUACAAGGCCUUGCUAAGUUGCUGAGGCUGACUUUGAUCUCCCAAUCCUCCUGUCUGAGCCUCCCAAGCUGUUGGGAUUACAGGUAUACUCUACUGUACCUGGCUUUAGUUGUCAUAUCUGAGAAACCAAUGCCUCUUCAUAACUCUGCAUAUAUGAGGAAAGUGCUAGUACCCUUGCAGACCUUGUCACAAACCUUCUAACAAGCCCAUAAAUGGUUAUUUUGUAUUUUAAUUGUAACAUGAAAGAAAGUUUGAAUAUUCAAACCAUGAAGAAGAUUAUGUCUGCUUGAUUUAGAGCUGAAAUUCAAGGAAAUUUCAGUUGUUCCCUAAUAUUUUGCCACAAAGGACACCAUAGGAAUAAAGUGUGUUCAUGUGUUUUUAAGCCCAUGAUUACCCAUAAAUGGACCUUUCACAGGAUCUGUCCAUGACAGGUUAUCUUCUGGACCUUUUCUGCUACUCAGUAAUUUGAUUUCUAAUGUGCUUUCAGUGAUUAUGUUUGGUUUCCCUAAUUAGAGAUUUCAACAAAAUCAGUUAUUAUUCAUCUGAUCAAGUCAGUCUUAUAUAGCAAAUAAAACAUAUGUUUUUCCCCAUGGAGAUUAAGUGAGUAGUGUUGAUUAAAUCUGUUUUGGAAAUAGAAUGAUAAGGUAGAUUAAGUCUAUUAAUUGGGUGAUUUUUUUAUACUGCUUACAUAUGCAUUUGGUCAUUAGCUUAUAGACUAUUCUCAACUGGGGGCAGUUCCUACUCCUGUGGGCUGUUUAGAAGUGUGUAGAAUAUUGUUUCGACACAGUGAUUCAGCAGGGUAUGGGGUAAAUUGUGUGCUACUAACACUUGGUGGCUGGGGGCCAAUAAUACCAGACUUCUUUUGGGGGCGUGGGGGACUGACAUUGUGCAGUGUGAGAGGGGCAGAUUCACCCAGUUAAGUCUACCCAGAAUUGUAAUAACACCACCACUGAGAUACGCUGAUAACUAAAUUUCUUGUGCAUUUCAAUAAUACUUAAAAUAUUUCAUUAACUAUAUUCUAGAAUCUUAUAAUAUUUUCUAGGAAACUAUUCAUAAACAACUUUCCACAUAGAUAUCGGAGUAAGCUUUUGUGUGUAUUUGUGGAUAUAGAAUUCUAACAUCACAGAUUUCUCAAACUUUUAUACCAUAGUACACCAAAACACAGAGAAGAGUAGGUUGUCCUUCCAGUUGGUGGAUAUUUUGAGGAAGGGAUGACUUCAAAAUCUCAAUUUUAAAUUUAAAUGAAAUUUGCACUUGUUUUUCUAGAUUGAGAUGCAGCUUGUAUACAAUAAAAUUUGCUGGUUUUAAUUGUAACUACUAUUCCAAAUCAAGAUAUAUUGUGUUAAUUUCUACCCCUAUUACUUCAUUUUUAUGACCCCCAGAAAGUUCCAUCAUGCCUUUCACCAUCCCCAACCAUUGGAUCAUAGGACAGGUGUAUGUUUAACUUUACAAAGGACUCUAAAUUGUUUUCCGGCUGUUUGUACUAUUUCACACUCCUAUUAGCAGUAUUUUUGUUUGUUUAGUGUUUUUGGAAGAGCAAAGGUUUUAAUUUUGAUAAUAUAUAAUUUAAAUUUUUUAUGAUUAUUGCUUUUUGUGUCCUUAAAAAAUAAUUUUAUAUCCCAUGUUUUCCCCUAAAAGUUUUAUAUAGUUUUUUUUUUUUUUUCAUUUUAGAUCCUUGAUCUAUCAUGAUAUAAUUUUUGUGUCUGGUAAGGUGGGGAUGACAUAGUAUUUUUAAAAAAAUUAUCAUUGCCAGUUGUUUGUUGCUAAUAUAUCAAAGUAGUUGAAUUUUGUAUAGAUCUUGUAUCCUCCAUUCUGCUAACUUCAUUUAACCCACUAAGUCACUAGUUUUUAAUUCUGUAUUUCAACAAAAUGGUACACAGGUGCAUUCAAAUAGAUUAUAAAUCAUAACCUGGAACUUAUAUAUAUAUUAAUAUUAUAUAAUAAUAUUCUAAUUUUCUAAUUAUAUGUAUUUAUAUGUCACAUACUAUAUUUAGUUUUUUUAUAGAUGUUCAACAUUUGAGAUGAUUGAACGUAACGGGUUAAUUGUUAUAGAGGGUUUUUUGUGUAAAUUCUUUAGGAUUUGUUAAACAAUCAUGUUAUCUACAACUGAGAUAAUAGUUCUUCCACCAUUCCAUUUUUAUGUUCUUAAUUUCCUUUCUUGCCUAGUAAGAGCAGACAUUUUUGCCUUAUUCCCAAUCUUAGAGGAAAAGCAUUCAGCAUUUCACUCCUAAUAUGAUACAUAAUAUUUAUGCAUAGUGGUACAUGCCUGUAAUCCCGGCUACUUGGGGGGUUGAGGCAGGAGCAAUUUACUGAAAUCCUGUCUCAUAAAACAGAUAUACAUACUUAAAUUUAUAUUUGUGUAUUAUAAUAUUGAUGAUAAGUUUUUCAUAGAGCAGUUUUCUUCUCUUCCUAGCUGAGAGCUCAAUUAUGGUGAAUGUUAAGUUUUGUCAGGGGUGUGAAUUUGGGUAUCUUAUUUUAGUAUAUGAGUUCUCUUCUUUAUUCUUGACUUGUAUUGAUUUUAAAAUUUGAACCCAUCUUUUAAUCCUGGGAUAAAUCUCACUUGGUCAUAAUAUAUAAUUGGUUUUACAUGUUUCUGAUUCAGUUAUGUUUCAUUUAUUUUGCUAGAACUUUUACAUUCAUGUUCAUGAAUGAUAGUGGUUUGUAAUUUUCUUUUAUUCUAAUGUCCUUGUUAUUUUUGAUUGAAGUUUUAUAAAUGAUUUGGAAAAUGUUCCUUCUUCCUCUAUUUUUGUUUGAAAGUGUUUGUGUAGGAUUGGUCUCAUUUCCUACUUGGACAGAAGUUCAGUGAAUCCUAGAGUUUUUUUUGUGAGGAAUGCUCAAUAUUGGAUUUUCUCUUUCUUUUUUAAUUGAUUUUUGUAAAGCUGUAUUUCUCAAAGAAUUUUUGUACUCAUCUACAUUGGCAAGGUCAUUCACAAAAUUAUUUAUAAUGCCUCAUAAGUCUAUUAAUCUUUUCUAAAAAUUAACUUAUGGCUUAAAUUUUUAAAAUUUUUCAUCUGUUUCCUAUUGUGUUAAUUUCUAUUCUAUUACUUCCUUUCUUCUACAUGAAUUGAAUAAAUAUUUUCUUUUCCAACUUCUUCAGUAGGGAUUUUGCAUAAUUGACUUUAUACCUUUCUUUUCUAACAUAAGCAUUAAAAGCUAUACAUUUCCUUUAUCUUUCUGCUUUAGCUCCACCCUCAGAUCCUUUGAUAUGUUGGAUAUUUGUUUUUAUUAUUAUUUAGUUUGAAAAUAUCUUCUAAUUUUCUUUUGGUGUUAUCUUCUUUGGCAUACAGAUUAUUUAAUAGUAUGUCAUUUUAAUUUCCAAAUGUUCUUAUUUUUAUUGUGGUCAGAAAACAGAGUCAGUAAUUUCAUUCCUUCUCAGCUUGCUAUGACUUGGCCUAGUGCAUGACUUACCUUGAUAAAUGUCAUCUCUGCCCUUGAGAAGGCUGUGUGUUUCUGCAGUGUUGAGUUAAUGUCUGCAGGAUUUCCUUGUCCUUACUUAGAUUUUUGGCUGUUUUUCCCAUUGGUUCUGAGAGAAGUGUUUGCUUUUUCUUUUUUUUUAAACUAUGAUUGUACAUUUGUCUGUUUAUAAGUUUUUGCUUCUCUUGUUUAAUGGUUUGUUUUUAGGUGCAAAUCUAUUAUGUCUUUCCAUUUUAUCAUUGUGAAGUGACCCUCAUUUCUAAUAAUAUUCUUUGUCUUGAAUUCUGCUUUAGAAUGUUCAUUCCACUUACAGUUAAUGUAAUUGUCAUUAUGAUUGGAUUUAAGUCUAUCAUCUUACUAUUUACUUAUUUAUUUUUAAUAUUUAUUUUUUAGUUGUAGUUGUCAAUACCUUUAUUUUACUUAUUUAUUUUUAUGUGGUGCUAAGGAUCGAACUCAGGGACUUGCACUCGCUAGGUGAGCACUCUACCGCCGAGCCAUAACCCAGCCCCAAACUAUUUUUUUUUUUUGUUAAUGCUUUUUAAAAAGGUAAUUUGCCCUUGAUUUUAAAAUUGGCUGUUAGCAUUGUUUUUCCCUAAUUUCAAAGAAUUUUUUUGUGGGGGGAACACUACUAGGGAUUCAACUCAGGGAUAAUUUACUACUGAGCUACAUAUCCACCCCUUUUUAAUUUUAAUUUUGAGACAUGGUCCUGCUUAGUUUUGAGCCUGGCCUCAAACUUGCCAAAACUAAGCUCAAAUUUGCAAUCCUUAUCCCUUAGCCUCCAAAAUGCCUGGGAUUACAGGCAUGCCAGGUCACCUCACCUGGCCAAAGGAUCAUCUUUUUUUUUUUUUUUUUUAAAUUUUAUUUUUUUUUAUAUUUUUAUUUGUGCAUUAUAGUUGUAUAAUGGUGGAAUUUGUUGUUACAUAUUCAUAUUUUUACACAACAUAACAAUUUGGCCAGUAUCAUUCAUUCUCCAGUGUUUUUUCCCUUUCCCUCUCUUCCUCCCUCCCCAUCCCUUUCCUCUACUUUACCAAUCUCCCUGCAAUUGUCUUUUUUUCCCCUCUUUUCACUUUUUUUUUUUUUUUGGUACUAUACGGUUCUACAUAAUGAUGCUACAUAUUCGUACAGGCAUACAAUAUAACAAUGUAAUUUGGUCUAUAUCACUCCCUUCACCCCCUGGUCCCUUUCCUCUACUGAUUUUCCUGAGAUUGCCCCUUGCACCAAUUUUCCCUCUUUUCCUCUCUAGCUUCUGCAUAUAAGAGAAAAUAAAUGACCCUUGACCUGCUGAGUUUGGUUUAUUUCACUAAACAUAGUGAUUUCAAUUUCUAUCCAUUUUCCUACAACUGACACAAUUCCUUUUUUUUUUUUUCUUUAAAGGCUGACUCCAUUGUGUGUAUAUACCAUGUUUUCUUUACCCAUUUUCUGUCAGUGGACACCUAGCCUGGUUCCAUUGUACAGCUAUUGUGAAUUGUACAUGGAUAUGCCUGUGUCACUGUUGUAUGAUGAUUGAUUCUUUAGAAGUGAUAUAGCUGGGUCACACAGUAGUCCAUGCCUACUCUUUUGAGGAACUUCAUGCUGAUUUCCAUAGCAGCUGUACUAAUUUACAAUUCCACCAACAGUCUAGAAGUGUUCCUUUUUUUUUCACAUCCUCUCCAGCAUUUAUUAUUAUUUGUUUUCUUGAAGACUGCCAUUCUGGCCUGUAUGAGAUGGAAACUCAGUGUAGUUUUGAUUUGCAUUUGCUUAAAUGCCAAUGAUGUUGAACUUUUUUCAUAUAUUUCUUGGCCAUUUGUAUUUGUUUAAUUUAUUUUCCCAUUUAUUAAUUGGGUUAUGUGGUUUUUUGGUGUGAAAUUUUUUGAGUUUUUUAUAAUAUUCUAGAGAUAAUCCUCUGUAAAAGGAGUAGCUAGCAAAGGAUUUCUCUCAUUCUGUAGGUUCUCUUUUCAGAAUCCUGGUUGUUUCCUUUCUUAUGCAGAAGCUUUUAAAUUUGAUUCCAUCCCAUUUAUUAACUGUCGGCAUUAUUUCCUAAGCUUUAGUGGUCCUAUGGAGAAAGUCAUUGUCCAUGUCCAUAUAGGGUAAACACUUACCCUAUGUUUUCUUCUAGGAGUUGCAGUUUCUGUUCUAAUUCCAAGGUCUUUGAUCCAUUUUGAGUUGAUUUUUAUGCAGGGUAGGAGAUGAGGUCUAUCAUGUAGGACCGGAGAAAUGAAAAGUUGUGCUGCAGUUGUGUACAAUGAAUCAAAAUGUGUUCUACUGUCAUAUAUAACUAAUUAGAAUAAAUGAAAAAAGAAAGAGAGGUAAGAUCUAGCUUCAUUCUUCUACAUAUAGAGAUAACCAGUUUUCCUAGCCCACUUGUUUAAAAGGCUGUCCUUUCUCCAAUGUUUUUUUGCACCUUUGUUAAGGAUCAGAUGAGUGUAUCUGUGUGGGUUUUUCUAUGACUUUCAUUCUGUAACAUUGGUCUAUGUGUCUUUUUAUGCAGUUUUUUUUUAUGCAGUUUUUGUUACUCUAGCUCUAUAGUGUAAUAUGAGGUCAAGUAUCAUGAUAUCUCCAGCAUUGCUUUUUUUGGCUUAGGAUUACUUUGGCUAUUCUGGGACUUCUGUUCCUUCAAAUCAAUUUUAGGACUGUUUUUUUCUAGUUUUGUGAAGAAUGUCAUUGGUGUUUUGAUGGGAAUUACAUUGAUUCUGAGCAUUUGAUUUCUUUCUUCAGUGUUCUGUAGUUUCAUUGUAGAGGCCUUUUACCUCCUUGGUUAGAUUUAUUUCAAGUUUGUUUUGCAUUCAUUUUUGUUUGAGGCUAUUGUGAAUGGAAUUGUUUCCCUCAUUUCUUUCUCAGCAGGUUCAUUGUUGCGUUAUAGGAAAGCUGUUGAUUUUUGUAUGUUGAUUUUGUAACUGCAACUUUGCCAAAUUUGUUUAUUAACUCCACCAAAAGACUGCUAGAGCUUUCUGGGUCUUCUAGGUAUAGGAUCAUAUCAUCUGCAAACAGUGAUCAUUUGACUUCUUCAUUUCCAAUUUUUAUCUCUUGUAUUUCCUUCUCUUGCCUAAUUGCUCUAGCUAGAAUUUCUAGUGCUGUAUUAAACAGGAGUGGUGAGACUGGAUCUUCUUGUCUUGCUCUGGACUUUAAAGGAAAUACUUUCAGUUUUUCCCCAUUUACUGUGCGAUUGACUUUGUUUUUUUUCAUAUUAUAGCCUUUACAAUGUUGAGGUAUGUUUCUUCUAUCCCUGGUUUCUUCGGUGUUUUUAUCAUGAAUGGAUGCUGAAUUUUGUUGAAGACCUUCUCUGUAUAUAUUGAGAUGACUAGUAAUUUUUCCCCUUAAUUCUAUUUAUGUGAUGAACUACAUUAAUUGAUUUGCAUAUGUUAAACCAUCUUGCAUCUCUAGGAUAAAACCAAUUUGGUCAUGAUAUGCAAUCCUUUAAUAUGUUGUUGAAUAAGAUUUGCUAAUAUUUUAUCAAGAAUUUUUGCAUGUAAGCUGGGCAGCAGCUCAUGCUUGUAAUUCCAGUGACUUGGGAGGCCAAGGUAGGAGAAUUGAAAAUUCAAAGUCAGCCUUAGCAGCUCAGCGAGGCCCUAAGGAACUUAGGCAGACCCUGUCUCAAAAUAAAAAAUAAAAAAGGCUGGAGAUGUGGCUUAGUUGUUAGGUGCCCCUGGGUUCAAUCCCUGGUAACAAAACAAAACAAAUAAAAGUGGUUUUUUGUAUUUAAGUUCAUCAGGGAUAUUGGUCUGUAGUUUUCUUUCCUUGGCAUAUCCUUGUCUGGUUUUGGUAUGAGUUUGAUACUGGCUUCAUAUUCAAAUUUUUUUCUUUUUCUUUUUCUAAUUAUUUAUUUAUUGGUAUGUGGUGCUGAGAAUAGAACCUAGUGCCUCACACAUGCUAGGGAAGCGCUCUACCACUGCGCCACAACCCCAGCCCUUCGUGGACAAAUUUGAAAGUGUUCCAUCCCCUUCUAUUUCAUGGAAUAAUUUGAGGAGUAUUAGCAUUAGUUUUUUCUUUAACGAUAUGGUAGGCUUCAUCUGAGAAUUUCUAUUUAUUUCUACUUGUCCCCUCUUACUUUUGUUUCACCUUUUUUUUUUUCAUCUUUUAAGUUAAUCAAGUAGUAUUUUUAGUAUUCCAUUCUAUAUCUUUUGUUGCCUUUUUAUCUGUACCUCUUUUUAUUUCCUAAUGAUUGUUGUAUCUACUGUUUAAAGAUUAAAUAUGCAUCUGUAACUGACUAGUCAACAUUGAAUUAAUACUGUUUCACAUAUAAUGUAAGAGCCUGUGAACCAUAUGAUUCUGUUACACACACACCCCUACCCUUUGUGCUAUUAUUGCUGUCACCUAUUUUACUUCUAAUUAUUCCAACCUUCACAAUAAAUUAUUAUUACUUGGUCAUAUAUCCUUUAAAGAAUUUAUGAAAGGAAAAACAAUGAGUUUAGAAAACUAAUAUUUACCAUGUCUGUGCCUUCAGUUUUUAAAUAAAUUCUUAUUUCUUUCUAGUAAUAUUUGCUAUCAGCCUGUCUACAACUCACCAAUUGUAGAAUUACUGGAGUUCUAAACAAAGCUACUGUCAAUAUAUUUAAAGGUAUUGAUAAAUAUACCUUUAGCUGUGAGGCACAGCAACCCUUAUCGAUAUUGUAGCCUUUUUAAAAAUUCACAGCUCUUCAAGGAUAAAAUCAAAGCUAGUUUUUAAAGAAAAAUGUUUAACUGGUAGUCCUUUGAAGAAAAUUUAACAAAAUAGUAGGUUAAACUGAUCUCUGGACAUAGUCUAGAUGAGUUUUUAAUGUGAGUGCUUUAGUAAACAUGUAGAGAAAACAACCACAUUUAUAAAUGGGCAAGUCCUAGCUUGACUUUUCAUCCUAGCCACAGGAAGCAGUCAGGUCACAUUGCUCUUCAGUGUUGACUAUUUAUUUCACUAUUUGCUCUUCAUAUGUGUUGUAGUACUUGGUGGUUUGAAUCACUUUCUCACUGUUCAGAGAAAAUGUAAAAAAUAAAAUACCAUUUUUAAUAACUCAUCUAGUGGCAGCUUGGGGGGCAGUGAACAGUUGAGAAAGGUUGUCAGAGGGCUGGGUACAAAUGGCUUUACCAACGUAAAUCCUUCAGAUUUAUUUGACUUAAAGCCAAGAAUGACAUCAAGAUUUUGAUUUAUAAGGUCCAGAGCCUAUAACAUGGUUCAUUUUCAUUGUUCAUUUGUGUAAGUGAUGAUAUUGGGUGACACUUUUCACAUGGUCAUCCUACAAACAUUGCCUGGUUACCACCAAGAGACAAAAAUUAUACAAUAUUCUCAGGUGCAAAAUCUUUCCCCUUUAGUGAGCGGUAAGUUAGAGGCAAUUGCAUUGCCCUGAAGACAUGUAAUGGUAGGGAAAAUACAAGAUGUCACUGAAGUACAAAGGAGUUGUGCCUGUGUAUAUCUGGGGUAAGUUUGUGCUUGCGAGCCUUGGGGAAAUGUAAUGUCUGAGUUGAAUUCUAAAGAGCAUAGGUGAUGUGACUUGAGGAUAGGACAGAUGGCUUGGAGAAUGGGGUUUUAGGAAGAGAGAAUGCAAUAUGCAGUUAGCUGCCUAGAUAAAAGAGGCAAAAAUUUAUUUCUAUGAUCAGUAGCUUGGGACAGGAAGAAAGGAAUGAGAGCAGAGACUGGGGAGGGAGGCUUUAGUGUGCAUGUUUGACCGUGUCUGUCAUGUGCGGGUAUUUAGACUUGGUUGGUUAGGUGAUUUUUUUCCAGUGGAACAUUUUAAGCAGGAAAAAAUAUUUUCAGGUAAUUUUUUAUUUUAGUGAUAUCAUUCACAUUACAGUGGAAGUAAUAUUCAUACCAAAUAUACAGGGAGUCUUUUGAAGAUUAUUGAAGUAAUCUAGGCAGGAGACACUAGAAGUGAAAAUGCAGGAAAAAGUAGAUGUUUCAAAACUGUUAAGGUAGAAUUGUUUAGUGUCAGACCAUUGAGGAAGAAAGGGUUGAGGAUGUCAUCCAGUUUUCUAGCUUGAGCAUUGCAUCUAAGUGGUAUUACCAUUCCUUGAAAUAAAGAGGAGAAAGGGAAAUUUCAAAACAUGUUGAAUUUAAAAUACCUUAAAGUACUUUAAGUUGGAAACUUCAUCAGAAAAUUGAACAAUAGGGUCUGGAAUUUAAGAAAGUGUUCUGUUUGAUAUCAAGAUUUGGGGUUGGUCGUUAGCAUAUGGCAACUAGUAAUAUUAUCCAUCUCUCUCACAGUUACAGAACUAGAAUGAGAACUCAAAGCCCAUGGUUCCAUGUUACACAAGUCUUUUUACUUCUGUAAAAGACUUUAAAAAUUUAUUUUUGUUUUUUAGUUGUCGACAGACUUUGAUUUUAUUCAUUUAUUUAUAUGUGGUGCUGAGAAUUGAACCCAGCGUCUCACAUAUGCAAGGCAAGUGCUCUAACACUGAGCCACAACCCCAGCCCCCCAAAUUCUAGGGCGGAAAUUGCCAUAUAGCGUUGUCUGUAUUCUGAAAUAACUCAGGGAGUAAAAUGAAGGUGGAUAAAGUGAGAUCAAAAGUUGCUUCAAAAGUUCUGCUUGUUGACCAGCAGAGGGCAGUCAAUAUCGAAGCUCACUAGUUUCUACUCUGCAUUGCCUUUAAGUCCUAGAAAGCUCCGUCUUUGGGAUAAGUAUUUUCAGUGUUCACAUUCCAUUGAAUCAGGCAUCCAGGGCAGUUCUAUUUAUUGUUGCUUUUGAGUCUUAUGUCCAAUUUUUAUUCUGGUUCCAUAUCUUUAUUUUAUUCCCUAUUCCCCAUGCCCAGUUCUUGUCCUCCUUACAGUUUAGGAGCUGUCUGGUAGCAGGGGAUUAAGUGGAUGGAAAGUAUGAGAAAGGUAGUGAAUUUUUGCUGUUCAACUCCUCUGUUUUAAAUGCCCCAGUUUUUGUUCUUGGUUAACUGUUAAAAUUCUAGGACACAUUUGUUUUCUUAGCCUUACUAUUCAAAGAAUGGAAUGAAAUGGAUUGACUUUUAGCUUCUAGAUCCAGUAUUGAUAAGGCUCUAGAAACUAAAAGCAGCAAGCUCUGCCACUGUUUGAUUGCAGGGAUGUAAGAAAAACUUUCUGCCCCUGGAUAUAUCCUUCAUUCAUGUGCCACUGUCUAAAAUGCCUCUUUGUCUACUUUUUAGCUUUAGGCACUCAAAGCUCCACUAAAAUUCAAAAAGUUCACUGAGGGAAACAAGAUAAGUGUGACAGCAUGAAUUAUUUUUCUUACGUUAUCAAGAACUUGAAAGAGAAGGAUGUGGGCAGGAAAAUCCAACCGGUUUUAACUAGAGGAUGGGAGAAAAGGUCUGGAGGUAGAAUUAUGCUCUUUCCUGUGAAUUUCCAUGCCUCCCAGCUGACUGAUGAUUUCAUUAUGAUCAUUAAAGGCCAACAUUUCUAGAGAGAAUUGUGUGUCAGGCACUGUUCUCAUUUAAUCUUCAAACUGACCUUAUGAGAUUAUUGCUGUUUACUGUCCCUAGUUUGCAGAUGAAGAAACUGAUGCACAGAGAAAUUGCUUGUCUACAAUUGCUUAUAAAAUUAACAACUAACUGAUGUUGACUGCUGUGCUGCCUACUAUAGCUCUGUGCCCAAUAACUCAGAUAAUUUUGCAUUGAACAGAGCAUGGACAAGCAUGAAGCUAGGUUACCUGGGAUGGUGACACUUGGGAACACAGACCCAUAUGAAGUCAGAGGACCUCAGCAGUAUUCCUGAGGCCACAGGAUUCAUAAUGCUGUUGUUCCUACUUCUUGGUAUAGCAAUCACCUAACCUUAAGGAAACGUGGGAAAAGAAAUACAAAAGUUUCAUUUCACAGCACUUGCUCUAUUAAGCUGAGGGGAUAAGAAUUUGGAUGACUGAAUAUUUUUAACUAUUUAAUGUCAUUCUUACAACAGUGUUAUUUCUCUGAAACUGGUAACUGACUAUAUUCAUGUUUUUCUUUUAAGAGUAAAAGAGUUCUUCAAAAGUGUUUUAUAAAAAUAGAAACUUUGGUGAUAUAAUUUAACAAAUUAACAAAGGCUAACUCCAUCAAUCUGGCAGUUUUGGAUUAUGUUUACAUUUGUUUGUUUAGGCUUCCUAGGGUAAUUAUGUAUUAGGUCAGUGAAUUGGUUCUUUCAUCUUCCAUUUUACCCUCUUUCUAUCCAGGUAAAGAAUUCGGAUUAAGGAACAUCCUAACCCAGAGAGUUGAGUGGGAGAACUGUUCCUCUGUUUUAGAAAUAAGCAUUGCAUUGUGACAGGAGCCUGUUAUUCUUUCUCAAAACUCUGUCCUUAACUAUGUUAGUGUUCUUUGGCAUUGACAGUGUAGUGUGACCACAGGUCAGACAUAGUCAGCUUUGGGGAGGAAGAUCAAAAUUACUGGCAGAAAGGCGGGUUUGGUAUUAGUUCUGAGUUAUCAGUGUACACUCCACUCCCUUCUCUGGAUAACUGAGAGGUAGCUGAUUUUUCUGGGCAGAUCAUUAUGAAGCGAACAAAUCAGAGUUGUAUCCUUUCUAGACCAUAAGGCAAGGGAAUAAAGAUGCUAGAUGUAUAUUUUGUAUCCAAGUUUCAGAAAGAUUAACUUUCUAAGUCAGUCACUAUUUGGGGGAAGACAAUGCUAUCACCUUUGUAAAGUUGUGAAUUAUGAAAGACAUUUCUGUGGGUUACUGAAUGUCCCUUGGGGUUUGUUUCAUUUAUAACUUUGCCUCAGGCCUUCUGCUGCAUCCUGUUGGAAUGACCUCCUUUUCAACCCUUUGUUGGCAGCUAUAAUACUGCUCUUUCGCCUGGAUCCUUCAGGCUUGUCACAUGACAAACAUGAACUGUGACCCCCUUUGUUCCUUACCCCAGAUGAUUAGGGGUGAUUUUUUUUUUUUAAUGCACAACAAGUUUUUUCUUAUUUUUAUUUCCUUUCCCCGCUUUUCCUCUCCUCUUAUUUCCUACCAAAAUAAGAUUGAAAACAAAAAAGGUAGCAAUUUAAUUUUGUAUCCAAAUGUAACAUUGAUGCAGACAGUAAACAAAUCAUAAGCCCACUGAAUUUUUACAUCUUGAACGUGUCCACAUGGACAGUAGUUGGAUCAAGUGGGGAAACAUCACCAGAACUUGAGAAGACCCCUGUCCCCUCUAGUCACUUCUUAGUUGCCCCAUGGGACUCACUGUUGGGACCUUUAUAGCUUUAUCUGUUCGGAGACUUUGUAGAAAUGGAAUCAUACAAUAUAUGUGUCUGUGUUCUUUCAUUUAACAUUUUUGUGAUAUUCAUUCAUGUUACCCAUUUGUUAUUGCUGUAUAAUAUUCCAUGGUAUGAAUAUUCCACAAUUUAUUCCACUUAUAUUAAGUAUUGGGGUUGUUUCUAGUUGGACUAUUGGGAUUGGUAGUGCUAAUAUUCGUGUACAUGAGUUUUGAUUAAAAUAUGACACAUUCCUGGGUAUUUACAUAGAAGUGGAAUUGCUGAGACAUAGUAUCCAUCUAGCCAUUUAAUUGAAAAAAUCAGAUAAAUAUAACACUAAUUUUAGACAAACUCUUGGUAGGAAACAUUUUUAAAAAUGUAUAGAUUUAGCUUUAGCAUAAUAUGUCUAAUUUGUAACUAAAGAAUGUGCCUCUAUUUAAAUAUACUGUAGUUUUAAACAGAUAACUCCUAUAAACAAGAAAAUUGCCCCUCUCUGCCAAUGACAUAUUUUACUAACUUUCUUCCUAAAGUAUACUUUUAUUCAGUUUUCCAAAACUGAGUUGGGGGGCCUAUUCUGCAAAGAUCUUGGAUAGUAAUAAUUUAUAGUAAUUAAGGCGACAUCCAAGUUGUACCAUCCCUGAGUAGUGAUGCCUACAGAGAAUGACUUUACUCACAUUUCUUGAAGCAAAGCAAUUACAUGAUAAUGAAACUCAGAAAAAAAACAAAAGUUGCUGCCAGAAUUAAUAGGACCCCGGCUUUGAUCUGUUGUUUGGUGUGUCUUUGCUCUUUCUCCAUAUGCUACUUAUGACAAGCAUCCAUCUCUUCUAAAACAUGGGCUUUCCAAAAUUUGUUCCAUGAUUUCUUGUGAAUGAGUUUAACCUAAUGAGUGUAGAAAUACAAUUGUGACAUCCCAUCUCUCAAAAACUGGAUAGUACCUUUUAUGAAAGUGUUACUUGACUAUCAGAUAAAGUACCUCCCAAGUCAUUCUACCAACAUGCAUGGAAUUAAGUUGACUAUUUUUCACCCUGGUGAUUUGGAGACCCUAAAGAAUUUCCUUCCCCUUCAUCAAAACAAUUCAAUCAGAAGUGUGAAGGGCAUGGUUAAUUAAAAUUUGAUGGUUAGGCCUGGGGAUAUAGCUCAGUUGGUAGAAUGCUUGCCUUGCAUGCACAAGGCCAUGGGUUCAAUUCCCAGCACCACACAAAAAAAUUGAUGGUUAUAAAAGAAUAGUAAGAGAACAAAAAGAUUUGCUUCCUAUGUUUGUUAAAUAUCUUGUAUAAGUCUUGAGCAGAUAAAGAAGAGUUGCCAAUUCAAUGGACAUGUUUUUUGAAACAAGUAUGGUAAAUGAAAGAAUUAAGAGAUUUUACUUUUAUAAAAUUAUCUUUUGAGAAUUAUUUUUAAUUUCUUUAAAUUUUGUCUUAAAAUAUUAGUAUAUAGACAUUAUUAUUUAAAAACUGUCUUAAUAUAGGAGUGUUGAGUUUCACUAAUUCUUUUUAAUGAUGCUCACAUUGGUUGUUCUGGGGUUUGGUUUUGUUUUGGUUUGGUUUGGUUCUUAUUUGAACCAGCAGAUUCAAUGCAGAAAAUAUUAUUGAAUAAUCUGUGUUGUUUUUUGUACUUUGUUCAGCCUAGAAGGAACAAAAAUGAUAAUCUCUGUCCUCAGAAAACUUCUGGUCUUGGGGGCAUGUGUUGGUGAUAUACAAAUUAUUGUCACACAAUGUAAAGUAACUGAACAUGAGAAUUCCGACAGACGGUGGGGGGGGCAGGGCGACCCAUUCAAAGCACAGUCUUAUUUUUACUUUUACUAUCAACAUCCAAAAGAUUACACAUAUUUACAGUGUACAAUCUAAUAGUUUUUAAUGAAUUCAUACACCUAUGAAAUCAGCUGUUGCCAGGGUCCAGCUGAAAGAAUGAGGUCAUGGAAGAGGUGGGUGGCCUUUGGAGAUCAGGCAUGCCUGAUCUCCAGGACCCAGAGGGUAGUGGGCUAGACUUGACAGACCUUUCCUUUGUGAAAGAUCCUUAAGUUAAACUGCUUCUCCUUUUAUUUUGUUUAGGGAUUAAAAGACAACUUUCUUGCUUCCGGGGCAUCAAGCCUGACAGCCACCAAACAGUUGCUUCGUCCAAGAAUCACGAGAGUCUGCCUCAGGGACUUGAUAUUCUGUAUGGAACAGGAAAGGGAGAUGAAGUAUUCUCGAGCUCUGUACCUUGCCCUUCUGAAGUGACCGCUUCCAUCCAGAUCCUUGCUAUUUACUGCCAAAGAAGACAAAAAAAAGAGAUGCACUGUCCUGAAAUCUCUCUUUCUGGAAAAUCAGUCACCAGUAUGAAAGACCACUGUUUACAGUUAGAAGUUUUUACUAAAUCUUACCUGUACAGCUCAUGGGGUUCUUAUAGCUGAGAAUUCAGUUUGAUCUUCUGAAAAUCAGUUGUGCAGUACCCUUUACAGAGAAGUAGCAUCUGCCCCCCUGUGAGUUUAAUUAUAGCAAGUUAAGGCUCCGUUUGUUACUACCUGCUUCAUUUGCCAAACUUCAUUUGCCAUGAGGUGUCUUUCCCUUAGUACCUCCUGCAUUGAGAUGUGGGAGAAAAGACGAGUUACCACUUACCAAGAAAAGGUAUUUUGUCCUACACUGAGCCUAUCUCAAAGUGUUGGGCUUUCUAGGCUGGAAUCAGAAGCUGCUUAGCUAACUAUGACAGUGGUCACCUUCUCUAGUUGAAGGUGACAGGCCACAGAGUAAGCCUUUGGUAACUUGGGUUGGCUGAGCCCCAUUGUUGUCCAGAUAAGACACAUGGGGACAGGUUGUGCCUGAGGUUGCUAAUUCUCUGGCUAAUCUCACUAUGUGCUGCUUCUGAUACCAAGUUGGGGGACGUCCUUGUCAGGAAAACCUUACGGUUGAAGCUGCUGCUUAUAUACCCUGUUGGAAAAUGGGAAAGGUGGGAAGCACUGGAAGGAAUAAUGAAGGGAAGAAGAAAAUGGAAUCCUAAGACAGGAAGUGUGCUGCGUGUGCCCAGGGAUGGAGGGAUGGAAUCGGAACUCCUAAUAAACUGGUACAUGUUCUGUUGAUGAAGGGAGAAAAAUCACAGUCCAACUAAAAAGGAAAAUGGUCAUCAAACAUUUUCAAAGGGUGUUAUGAGGUUAAAUGAAGAAGCAAAAU
Molecule: long non-coding RNA, 31980 nt
Filed under: Marmota monax (woodchuck)
Lineage: Eukaryota; Metazoa; Chordata; Mammalia; Rodentia; Sciuridae
Source: RNAcentral